UACAGAGGGUGCGAGCGUUGUUCGGAAUUAUUGGGCGUAAAGGGCGCGUAGGCGGUGCGGUAAGUCACCUGUGAAAUCUCCUGGCUCAACUGGGAGCUUGCAGGCGAAACUGCCGUGCUGGAGUGUGGGAGAGGUGCGUGGAAUUCCUGGUGUAGCGGUGAAAUGCGUAGAUAUCAGGAGGAACACCUAUGGCGAAGGCAGCUCUCUGGUACGUGACUGACGCUGAGACGCGAAAGCGUGGGGAGCGAACAGG
This 253-nucleotide ribosomal RNA is filed under the name uncultured bacterium. RNAcentral's name for it is "partial 16S ribosomal RNA". It matches the Rfam family "Bacterial small subunit ribosomal RNA", at positions 524 to 776 of the family's 1533-position model. The record is from RNAcentral.